This 293-nucleotide ribosomal RNA is filed under the name uncultured bacterium. RNAcentral's name for it is "partial 16S ribosomal RNA". It matches the Rfam family "Bacterial small subunit ribosomal RNA", at positions 505 to 796 of the family's 1533-position model. The record is from RNAcentral.
GUGUCAGCCGCCGCGGUAAUACGGGGGGAGCAAGCGUUGUUCGGAUUUACUGGGCGUAAAGGGCGCGUAGGCGGCCAGCACAAGUCAGUUGUGAAAUCUCCGAGCUUAACUCGGAAAGGUCAACUGAUACUGUGCGGCUAGAGUGCGGAAGGGGCAACUGGAAUUCUUGGUGUAGCGGUGAAAUGCGUAGAUAUCAAGAGGAACACCUGCGGCGAAGGCGGGUUGCUGGGCCGACACUGACGCUGAGGCGCGAAAGCUAGGGGAGCGAACGGGAUUAGAUACCCGGGUAGUCC